RNAcentral lists this ribosomal RNA (257 nucleotides) under uncultured bacterium. Its description in RNAcentral is "partial 16S ribosomal RNA". It matches the Rfam family "Bacterial small subunit ribosomal RNA", at positions 102 to 353 of the family's 1533-position model. The record is from RNAcentral.
ACGGGUGAGUAACGCGUGAGUAACCUGCCUUUCAGAGGGGGAGUAACGUUCUGAAAAGAAACGCUAAUACCGCAUAACAUCAAUUUAUCGCAUGAUAGGUUGAUCAAAGGAGCAAUCCGCUGGAAGAUGGACUCGCGUCCGAUUAGCCAGUUGGCGGGGUAACGGCCCACCAAAGCGACGAUCGGUAGCCGGACUGAGAGGUUGAACGGCCACAUUGGGACUGAGACACGGCCCAGACUCCUACGGGAGGCAGCAUG